UAUGGCAGACUAGUGCACAGGACUUAAAAUCCUUAUAUAAAGAUUUAUCUUAUCUUUUAUUAAAA
RNAcentral lists this transfer RNA (65 nucleotides) under Crematogaster sp. B SPQ-2003. RNAcentral's name for it is "tRNA-Leu". Lineage: Eukaryota; Metazoa; Arthropoda; Insecta; Hymenoptera; Formicidae. The record is from RNAcentral.